UACGUAGGGUGCAAGCGUUGUCCGGAAUUAUUGGGCGUAAAGAGCUCGUAGGCGGUUCGUCGCGUCGGCUGUGAAAACCUGAGGCUCAACCUCAGGCCUGCAGUCGAUACGGGCGGACUUGAGUACUGCAGGGGAGACUGGAAUUCCUGGUGUAGCGGUGAAAUGCGCAGAUAUCAGGGAGGAACACCGGUGGCGAAGGCGGGGUCUCUGGGCAGUAACUGACGCUGAGGAGCGAAAGCGUGGGGAGCGAACAGG
This 255-nucleotide ribosomal RNA is filed under the name uncultured bacterium. Its description in RNAcentral is "partial 16S ribosomal RNA". It matches the Rfam family "Bacterial small subunit ribosomal RNA", at positions 524 to 776 of the family's 1533-position model. The record is from RNAcentral.